UACGUAGGCAGCAAGCGUUGUUCGGAGUUAUUGGGCGUAAAGGGUGUGUAGGCGGUUGUUUUAAGUUUGGUGUGAAAUCUCCCGGCUCAACCGGGAGGGUGCGCCGAAUACUGAGUGACUAGAGUGCGGGGAGAGGAAAGUGGAAUUCCUGGUGUAGCGGUGAAAUGCGUAGAUAUCAGGAGGAACACCGGUGGUGUAGACGGCUUUCUGGACCGUAACUGACGCUGAGACACGAAAGCGUGGGUAGCAAACAGG
RNAcentral lists this ribosomal RNA (255 nucleotides) under uncultured bacterium. Its description in RNAcentral is "partial 16S ribosomal RNA". It matches the Rfam family "Bacterial small subunit ribosomal RNA", at positions 524 to 776 of the family's 1533-position model. The record is from RNAcentral.